This 465-nucleotide ribosomal RNA is filed under the name uncultured bacterium. Its description in RNAcentral is "bacterial SSU rRNA". It matches the Rfam family "Bacterial small subunit ribosomal RNA", at positions 926 to 1391 of the family's 1533-position model. The record is from RNAcentral.
CAAGCGGUGGAGCAUGUGGUUUAAUUCGAUGCAACGCGAAGAACCUUACCUACUCUUGACAUCCAGCGAACUUAGCAGAGAUGCUUUGGUGCCUUCGGGAACGCUGAGACAGGUGCUGCAUGGCUGUCGUCAGCUCGUGUUGUGAAAUGUUGGGUUAAGUCCCGCAACGAGCGCAACCCUUAUCCUUUGUUGCCAGCGAUACGGUCGGGGACUCAAAGGAGGCUGCCGGUGAUAAACCGGAGGAAGGUGGGGAUGACGUCAAGUCAUCAUGGCCCUUACGAGUAGGGCUACACACGUGCUACAAUGGCGCAUACAAAGAGAAGCGACCUCGCGAGAGCAAGCGGACCUCAGAAAGUGCGUCGUAGUCCGGAUCGGAGUCUGCAACUCGACUCCGUGAAGUCGGAAUCGCUAGUAAUCGUGGAUCAGAAUGCCACGGUGAAUACGUUCCCGGGCCUUGUACACACC